GACGUAGGGCGCGAGCGUUGUCCGGAUUUAUUGGGCGUAAAGAGCUCGUAGGCGGCUUGUCGCGUCGGCUGUGAAAUCCCGUGGCUCAACUGCGGGUCUGCAGCCGAUACGGGCUAGCUAGAGUUCGGUAGGGGAGACUGGAAUUCCUGGUGUAGCGGUGAAAUGCGCAGAUAUCAGGAGGAACACCGGUAGCGAAGGCGGGUCUCUGGGCCGAUACUGACGCUGAGGCACGAAGGUCAGGGGAGCAAACAGG
Molecule: ribosomal RNA, 253 nt
Filed under: uncultured bacterium
Lineage: Bacteria
Description: partial 16S ribosomal RNA
Rfam family: Bacterial small subunit ribosomal RNA
Source: RNAcentral